GACGAACGCUGGCGGCGUGCUUAACACAUGCAAGUCGAACGGAAAGGCCCCCACUUUUUUGGUGGGGGUGCUCGAGUGGCGAACGGGUGAGUAACACGUGGGUGAUCUGCCCUGUACUUCGGGAUAAGCUUGGGAAACUGGGUCUAAUACCGGAUAGGACCAUGGUUUAGUGUCUCAUGGUGGAAAAAUUAUUGUUUUGGUGCAGGAUGAGCUCGCGGCCUAUCAGCUUGUUGGUGGGGUAAUGGCCUACCAAGGCGUCGACGGGUAGCCGGCCUGAGAGGGUGGACGGCCACAGUGGGACUGAGAUACGGCCCAGACUCCUACGGGAGGUAGCAGUGGGGAAUAGUGCACAAUGGGCGCAAGCCUGAUGCAGCGACGCCGCGUGGGGGAUGACGGCCUUCGGGUUGUAAACUCCUUUCGUUAGGGACGAAGCCGCACCUUUUUUGGGUGUGGUGACGGUACCUUUGUUAAGAAGCACCGGCUAACUACGUG
Molecule: ribosomal RNA, 492 nt
Filed under: uncultured bacterium
Lineage: Bacteria
Description: partial 16S ribosomal RNA
Rfam family: Bacterial small subunit ribosomal RNA
Source: RNAcentral